GUUCCGUAUUUUUUUUCUGGAAGACUACACAAACUAGGGAAAAAUGGGUAGCAGUUCCUGUUACUAGAAAUGCCAGCGUUGCAUUACAACCAAAAAAGUAUAUAGGGUCAGGCGGCUCAAAUUGACUUAAAAUGCAGUUGAAAAAGAUCGUCUACUUUUUUCGCUUAAUGAAAAAGGCAUAUUUUUAAUGGCUCCAACGUGCAGAAGUGGAAGAUAUUUUCUAUACUUUGUAAAAUGUGAAUAUGAUUUUCGGCAAUUUUUAAACCUAAAUUGGAUAAGCUUUCGAUUAAAUGUAAUUCCAAUCCUG
Molecule: long non-coding RNA, 307 nt
Filed under: Mytilus galloprovincialis (Mediterranean mussel)
Lineage: Eukaryota; Metazoa; Mollusca; Bivalvia; Mytilida; Mytilidae
Source: RNAcentral